AUUGAAGCUUGCUUGAGAGGUAAGCUUCAAAACCCUUUAAUGGUAGAACUCUAAGGAUUGAUCCUUAUGCUCUAAAAAUGGUUUUAAUAGAAUUCUAGCAUGCUAAAUAGAUGAUUAUUGCUAGAAUCUAGGAUCAAUUUAAUUAAUUCUUGCCUAGUUAUAAACCUAGGGCUCGAAAUGCAAUUUUUGAAAAUAUGAGGGUUUGAUCUCAUUUAACCCUCUGGAAACCUAAUUGAUAGGUCACUGAACGCGUCGGAAGCGACGGUUCGGCGAUUCGUCGAGCCAGUGCGAAGUUAUUAAAGAAACGGACGUUUAGGCUUCGUUUCCGCCUGGAGGGCCGAGGCGACGUCGUAAAAUCCUGGAAACGGAUUUGAAGCAUCGUAAUAGGAAACCGAAGACCUUUAAUUUUCGGAUCGCGGAUCGGAGGUCGUUUGGUUGUCGCGCGCGUGGAUUGGGUCAAGCCGAGCGGCGUGCGCCGCGGGAGGCCGAUUGCGAGUGACGACGAGCAAUCGGAACGCGAUAAAAGGUGGGUGGUGUCCAUCCCGAAUCAAUCGGGCUCCUUUUUAUGUCUAAGUUUUAUAUUGAUCAAAUUGCAUAUUGACAUCUUGCAUUAUAGGGUGAUAAAUGAUGGUUUGGUCCUAUACCUUGCAUGUUCUUUGGUAGAAUAAUGUAUUUGGCUUAGUACUUAUAUCUAACAUGCUUGAGGUUUAUAUAUGUGAUGUGGAACCCUAUAAUGAGAUGAUAAGUGUGGAUGGGAAUUUAAUAAUGCAUUGGCUAUUGCAUUGAAAACUUGUAAAGAACGAGUGGCAUCUAGUUGAUAGUAAACAAAGAACAAAUGACACCUAUGAGUCAUAGUGUAUAUGAAACCUAUGGGCUAUAUGAUGGUUGUAACCCUAGAGGAUAGGGUAUUCUCGAGACGAGGAUUGGAUCAUGCUCACGGUCUGUUUUUAAAUCUUGUGAUGGAAGCCCCACACAAGUAGUGCGCUCCGGAGUUGGUCACGUGGGAUUGCCGAUUUCGGGUCCCAAGGGAUUGCCUAUUUUAGGCCCCGCCAGACGGUCUCGGUUCGUAGUGCGAGUUGACCCUCCCUACCUUCGAGAUGGCUAGUGAGCAGUAGGCUCCUUCAGGGAAGCCACGAGAUUAAGAAACAAGUAAAUGAGAUUGGUGAACGAGUAAAUAACUUUACCUUUGGACAUGAUAAUGGGAUUGUUGUUUAUCCAUUUCAUUGUACAUGCAUUCAUAUAUUUAUGAUUGGGCAUAGUAGCGUAGCUUUACUGCUGUCAUUUACCGCUUUCCUUAUCUAUCUAUCUAUCGAUUAUCUACUUGUGCCCAACUUGGACCUAGUGGGGAGAUCGGCGGAGUCGGCGGCCGAACCCACUGGGAACUAAGGAAGUUAGUUCUCACCCCCAUUUUACUACAGGGCCGAGCGCGAGUUCACACGGCGAGGAUCGCGGUAAGGGCCUAGCGCCCUAGUUGCAUUAGUUUACUUUCCUAUUUCUGCAUUAGAGUUACCUUUAUAUACAUUGAGAGUAGAUGAUGUAUAGGAUGUGAGAUAUUCUGGAAUGAAUGUAAGCUAAUGUUUGUAAUUUGGAAGAUGUAAGCUUUAUAUUAUGUUUAGAAGCUUAAUGCAUAAUCAAGUUGUAUUAUAAAGGCUGAAUGAAUGUAAUAGAUAGAUGUUUCUCUCUUUAUCAUUACUUGUAUGUUCUAUACUUGUAUCUUGCUCUUAGUUGUUUAGCACUGAUUGUGCUCCCCUCGUAGUUGUUAAGUGAUCAUGUAUGUAUUCAAGUGAUUUCCUGGGAACUUGUUGUACAUGAUCU
RNAcentral lists this long non-coding RNA (1815 nucleotides) under Ananas comosus (pineapple). RNAcentral's name for it is "long non-coding RNA (ACOM_LNC010128)". Lineage: Eukaryota; Viridiplantae; Streptophyta; Magnoliopsida; Poales; Bromeliaceae. The record is from RNAcentral.